This 961-nucleotide long non-coding RNA is filed under the name Salmo salar (Atlantic salmon). RNAcentral's name for it is "lncRNA (ENSSSAG00000084021.1)". The record is from RNAcentral. Lineage: Eukaryota; Metazoa; Chordata; Actinopteri; Salmoniformes; Salmonidae.
UGUGUGUGUGUGUCACUACCAUAACAUUCAGGUACGGAACACAUUUAAAAGCGGUGUCUUGUUGCUGCUGCUGCUUUCAAAGCAGGUUUUUUUUAUUUCCUGACAACCAAAACGUCUUUGUUAGAGAUAGUAGGAUAUCAGUGAGGUGGGUCACCGAGGUAGCCGGCCCUUUCAACACGCUACACUUUAUAAAACCCUGUCAGCUAUAGACCAACCUUAUCCACAGGCUGAGGUGAACAAACCUCUGGUAUCUACGGCCAUGUUAGCUUCAUUGUUUAGAUUGUAUUAUCGUUUUAUCAAUAACCGCAGUCAAAAGCUGCCAGCUGCAUUCUAUUCAAUCCCUCAAACCAAUAAACACAGGCAGAGGAAGGUUCUCCUCAGAACAACAGUCAGAGGAAGGUUCUCCUCAGAACAACAGACAGAGGAAGGUUCUCCUCAGAACAACAGACAGAGGAAGGUUCUCCUCAGAACAACAGACAGAGGAAGGUUCUCAUCAGAACAACAGACAGAGGAAGGUUCUCCUCAGGACAACAGACAGAGGAAGGUUCUCCAGAGAACAACAGACAGAGGAAGGUUCUCAUCAGAACAACAGACAGAGGAAGGUUCUCCUCAGAACAACAGACACAGGAAGUGGUUUGAUUUUAAUUAAGGAAAGACACUAUCUGCAUCUCUUACUUUCUCUCUCUUUUUUUUUAAUAGAAAUCAUUUUUUGCACAAUAUGAAAAAAUGUUCCUCACAUCUAAGACGAACUAACAUGGUAAAGGAAGUAAAGAAAGGAAGGAGAAGCAUUCAGCAUGGUGGUGUAUAAAUGAGUCUGAUCAGUAAAGACAGACUUCAUCACAGUAGGCAAUGGGAUGGAGACUGGUCCAGGGUCCUUUGUCUUGGGAAUGUCCACGGUAUUUAGCUGUGGGGGAAAUGAGGGAUUGAUAUGAGUUUCAUUUGUUGUUUUGUGAAGUUAUAA